GCGCGAAAUCUCUGCAAUAGGCGAAAGCUUGACAGGGUUACUCUGAGUGGUUCCCGUUAAGGGGAUCUUUUGGCACCUUUAAAAAUGGUGCAGAAUAAGGGGUGGGCAAGUCUGGUGUCAGCCGCCGCGGUAAUACCAGCACCCCGAGUGGUCGGGACGAUUAUUGGGCCUAAAGCAUCCGUAGCCGGUACUGCAAGUCUUCCGUUAAAUCCACCUGCUUAACAGUUGGGCUGCGGGGGAUACUACAGCGCUAGGAGGCGGGAGAGGCAAGCGGUACUCAAUGGGUAGGGGUAAAAUCCGCUGAUCCAUUGAAGACCACCAGUGGCGAAGGCGGCUUGCCAGAACGCGCUCGACGGUGAGGGAUGAAAGCUGGGGGAGCAAACCGG
Molecule: ribosomal RNA, 386 nt
Filed under: uncultured bacterium
Lineage: Bacteria
Description: bacterial SSU rRNA
Rfam family: Archaeal small subunit ribosomal RNA
Source: RNAcentral